RNAcentral lists this long non-coding RNA (1300 nucleotides) under Fukomys damarensis (Damara mole-rat). RNAcentral describes it as "lncRNA (ENSFDAG00000032694.1)". Lineage: Eukaryota; Metazoa; Chordata; Mammalia; Rodentia; Bathyergidae. The record is from RNAcentral.
ACUGUUGUGAGUCAGGGUUAAUUUAUAUUGUUAUGUUAACAUUUCUACUGUUAUGCUAGUGAUUGCAUAAAUGACUUUCUACAUAAAAGGAGAAAGUCAACUGGUAAUGGAACCAGUGUCUUGGUUUGCAACUUUCUUUACUUUUGUCACCUGUUUCAUUCUGUGCUCCUGUUACUGCACCUGUGCAAGCUGAUGUAAGAACUCUCCAUGGCCAGUCGAUCCAUGAUUCCGUCUGUAUUCAGAGGCUGGAUGUUGACUUGCGUACCAGAGUACUCAUCUUGAUUCCGGUGUUAUGUGUAAGGGAGGCUUCCUCUAUUUUGAAAAAUCUGAAAUGUGGCCAUAUAAGACAUACUAUAACCAGUGUAAUUUGGGAAUAACGUGAAGCUUUCUACUUGGAACACAUAUGUAGAAAACUGUGGAUAAUUAAUGAAAGCCAUAUAUUGAUAAUAGUUGUGGAUAACACAUUGAUGUAGGAUGGCUGCAAGUUUUCUGAAGGGUAGUGUUUUGAAUUGUUAUUAGUGGAUUAAUGAUAAAAUAAACAGACAAGGCAGAAAGGAAAGGAGAGAAAGUGGCAGUCCUUGCUCAAUGGUGACCACUGGUGGUGAUCCAGUCAGUCAGUGCAGUGUGUCUGGAGCUAUAAGGUCUUUCCCCACAGACCCCUGGUCUUCAUGUUCAUGUACCAUUCUGUAAGCAGAUGUUUCGUUCUAUAAUUAGACCAGUGAGCAAGUCAAACAAUGACUAUAGAAAUCAGGAAAGAGAAAAAGGUGAAGCAUUGACCAAACAAAAAUUAUGUAAUGUGGCAAGAACACCAUUAAUAUAUUGAAAACGUUGAGUUCCAAAGUUAAGGAAGGCACGUCUGAGGGCUCACCCUGUCUGGGCAUCACAUCCCCAGCAUACACGUGAAAUGAAAACACUGGAAACAGUGGGUGCCCCAAGGAACCACUGAAAGAAAGGUGAUAAGCAAAAGUCAGUGAGAAAAGUGUUCUUUUGUGUCCUUGCUCUGCUCUGUGCUCCUCAGAAUGGUGCUCCCCAGAGGCUCCCACAUCCCACCUGGUCACUACUAGCCUAUGGUUGUUCUCUGGAUUAUGCCUUGGACCAUGUCUCCAGCAGAGAGCACCGAGCUGGCGUGAGAAUCCCCCUGACCUCCUCUUCCUGUGAAGCUCUUAGACUAUGCAGAGACUAUUGUGAGUCAGAAUCCAAAUUUGAUUCUUUUUUUAGGUACAAAAUUAAAGCUACUCAUGAUAGCAUUGUAAAGUUUUUUUUAUUUAUGACAAAAUUAAAAUUUACAUAUUCACGGGCU